This is a non-coding RNA of Phoenix dactylifera (date palm), 1411 nucleotides long. The record is from RefSeq and is a predicted model, not a curated record. NCBI's taxonomy places the organism in Eukaryota, Viridiplantae, Streptophyta, Magnoliopsida, Arecales, Arecaceae.
AUCCUCUCAAGUUCCCUGGGCGUUCUAUGUUAUUUAAAAUGCUCCUCUCCUUAGACAUAGCCUGGAAAAGCUUGCCACCCCUCCCUCCCAUAAAGGAUCCCCUUAGAAGAAGACAGCAUCUCUUCCAAAAACCCACCUCUUUUGCAGUUAUUUUAUGCCUCCAAUGACCUGUCCAUCAUGUGCUGUCUUAGAUUUAUAUACUUCUCUUAUCAAGCUUGGGAGGAGGGCCUGAGGGACCUGGUCUGGAGGUUUUUGAUUGAGGAAUGAUGAGUGAUAGAAGGGAGAGGUGUUGGAAGGAAGAGGGAAAGUUGGUGUUAGGAAUGAAGACUGAUCCAAGAUCCUUCAUAACUCAUUUCCCAUUUAAAACUGGAGAGGAGGAGGAGAAAAAAAAAUGAAUGUUUAGUCCUUCCUACUCCUACUCGCAUUCAUUUUAUCUUUAUUGAGGGAUCUCGGACCAGGCUUCAUUCCACACACCUUGCUUUCUGGUGCAAAGUAAUCUGAGGUUACAGGUUAUGUUCCUAGUUGGCCUUGGAUUGAAUACUAAAACAAACGUUUUUCCCGGCUUCUUGUUGCUCUACUCUCUUUUCCUUGAGCAAAAUGGAGGGAGAGCCACCAUAUAUUUUCAUCGAUAGGAGGAAAUGGUCUCAGUCUGUGGAUGCUACACUUCAACCAAUUGUGAGCACGUCACCAAACGAAACCAGAUCUGUAAAGAAAUUCCUAUCGCGUAUCCUGAAUAAAUUUAGCAAGAUCAAAUUGGAUUCUUCCAUGCCUAACCAUAUCUCUACUUUGUAGAACUUCAUUCGAUGUCAAAUAUGUUUCUGAAACAUCACUGUGCAUCUUAGAGUCAUCCUUAACACGAUCCAUCCAUUUACAUUGUAAAACAACGAUUACUAAUCUAUCUAAAGAACUAGCAGUAUUUAAGCUCGUAGUACGCUGAAAAUAUGCUUGCUAAUUACAGAAGAAAUAAUGCUUCCAAAUAUAAAGUUUCAGCCCUUUGACUACUGAAUUCAGCUGGUUUUUAUUUAUCAUUAUUACCAUUACUUUUUUAAACUUUGUCUGCUUAACUUCAGUGGCUGCUAUACAGAGUGAGAAAAGGCUUCCUGUUGUGCAACUCUUUAGAUUUGAGAUACCACGUUCCCUGUAAUGGAUCUCAGCAUGUCCUCGUGGAGCCCUGGUCGCUCUAUGAGCACUGAAGUUUACAUUUCCUGGUGGCCUUUAUAGGGUUUUAAUGAGUGCAAAUUUGACACUCAGUGCUAAAUUCCACACCAUUUGAACAACAUGUUGUACUCUUCAGCUUUUUCAUUCUGAAUGGUCUGAUUUCAGCUUUUCUACUAAGGCUGCACACUGACCUCAAUAAUUGCCAUGUACAGAGAAAAAGAUAUAUUAAUUACAACUUAUGCUUGGUUUUUAA